Molecule: transfer RNA, 72 nt
Filed under: Ovis aries (sheep)
Lineage: Eukaryota; Metazoa; Chordata; Mammalia; Artiodactyla; Bovidae
Rfam family: tRNA
About the family: Transfer RNA (tRNA) molecules are approximately 80 nucleotides in length. Their secondary structure includes four short double-helical elements and three loops (D, anti-codon, and T loops).
Source: Rfam by way of RNAcentral
UCCCUGAUGACUCAGUGGUAAAGAAUCUGCCUGCCAGUGCAGGAGACCUGGGUUCGAUCCCUGGUCCAGGAA